This 1512-nucleotide long non-coding RNA is filed under the name Capra hircus (goat). RNAcentral describes it as "lncRNA (ENSCHIG00010022607.1)". Lineage: Eukaryota; Metazoa; Chordata; Mammalia; Artiodactyla; Bovidae. The record is from RNAcentral.
CACUAUAUGCCCAGUCUCAAGCCUGUCACUUGUGAGGGAAACAAGCCACCACCCGUGUGCUUUCACCUGAGUAAGUUCACCCCUGGGAUGAGCAAGGAGGGGACAGAGCUUUCCCUAAAGGAUAGAGCUGUGAUUGAGGUGAGCAAGGAGAAAGGGAGAUUGGUGGUUGGGAAGGUACCCGUCAGUGCGAGCUGCAAUAUUACUUCUUGUCUUUCUCAUGAUGGUUAGUAAAAGUCAAACCACACCAAGCAGGAUGAUGAGUGGAGGACUGUCAGGCCCUCAGAAAGGUCAUCCUCCAUGAGAUUAAGAGAAUUUCUGGUAAUCGGCCUAAAAGCUCAGUAUUAAGAUACCAAGUAUCUGGCAUUUUUCAUUAGAGAGAAAUACAGCAUUUAUUUAAAGUUUGUCUCUUACACCAAGUAUGCAGAAACAAAAGGGCUGAUUUAAAAUCAAACAGUUUUGAGGAGCUACUAAAUAUUCAUUGAAUAUUCAGCAAACAGUGUUGAAUAAAUUAAGUUCAGCCAUUAGUUUUCUAAUAGUCAGAUGAAUAGUCACUGAAGCAAAAAGGAGACAUCCAAGACCUAGAUGUAUUUUAGGCCCAAAGGAAUGAAAGUGACAUGAAAAGAAAAAAGCGCAUGGACAUUUUCCCUUUGCAUGGCUUCCAAACUUAGCAUCAAAGCAGGAGUUGAUUUUUCUCUGUAUUGUUUAACUGUAGAGGCCAUUAUGUCUUUUGAGCCCCAUAGAAUGCCUUUAGCUUAGCCUGCUGUUGAAUAUAUAAUGGGAAUGAAGAAUGAGAAAACUUUAAAAGAUUCAGCAAGGAGAAAAAAGAGUGAAUUGAGACUUCUGUUUCUGACUUCAUGGCUUAUAGUAUGGUGCUGUUGAGAGUGAGUUAAAAGUGACUUUAAAGAUGACAGAUUCAGUUUAAUACUUCGACAUCUGAUGCUCAGUGUGCUUAUUACAGUUUUUAAAAAUAAAGUUUGUCUUCAUUGUGAAAUAGUGAGGUGUAUCAGUUUGCUGAAAAACUUUAAGAGAUAUUUGAUCCAUUUAAAGUCUUUGAUCAUGAAUUGAUAAAUAAAGAAUNNNGGCAUUUAUCCUGCUUUUCCUGUAUGAAUUUCAUUGUGGGGUAAUCAAAUAGUUGGUAUGGAAAAUUUCUUGUAUUAGAAUCUUCCUAAUACAAUAGGAAGCUUAAAAAAAAAAAAAAGACUGAACUGAAUGGAAUCAAGCCUCUAGAUCUAAAUUCCAAUUUAAAUAAAAUAAGAAGGGUAGAGGAAAAAGUUGAACACUACCAUGAGGAAACAAGUCAAAUUUAGAAUGUAGAACAUUCCCUAGGACCAAUAAUUUUGUUUCUUCAGCAAAUAAAUGUCAUUGGUGGGGUAAGGCGGCAGGAAAACCAAGGUGGGGAGCGAAUUUUCUUAGAUUGAAAAGAUUUAAGAGGCAUAACAGCUGAGUAUAAAAUAGGAACUUUGGAUCCUCGUUUAGAUCUGUGUGUGCAUGCUCCAUUGUGACCGACUCUUU